Cinara cedri is the source of this 219-nucleotide non-coding RNA. The record is from the annotation of a GenBank genome assembly. Lineage: Eukaryota; Metazoa; Arthropoda; Insecta; Hemiptera; Aphididae.
GAGUGUUAUCAAUUACCAUGUAAUAUAUAGGAGUAUUGUGUAGUACCUACUACCUAAAUACCUAAUCUAAGUUAUACACGGUAAACAUUAUUUCCUACUUAUGUAAAAUAAUUAUAUUAUUAUAUUAAAGGUUACGCCAGUGGUAGAGCCAUUAGUAGGGCAUUUUCAGAUUGGGCCAUGACACCACCACUGCUUAUUGAGGUCCAACUGUUCAUAGUA